UUGACUUUAUUAUUUCAGAGUGCAAAAUGUAGAAUGAGAAUCAUUGGAUAUAAUGUCAUAAUGAUUCUGCUUGUUCACAGGAGAUUGUGUUGGACCUGGAAGUAACGGGUGAGGAUGAGACAUGUUUCCGGGAACACAUUAAUGCCAUCACCCUGGAGUUGCGUAAAAGCAACCCCAGGUACUCUGAGCUCAAGAACCAGUUGAAGCACACUCUUUUCCAAAGAGUACAGAUUAUGGAGAGGCCUGCAGCUGAAGUAAUGGAGCAGUUUCCUUUUCUUGGAGUGCCACAGCUUAUGCUGCAUGAAAUGACAAUGAGGUUUGGACCAGACUUGGCGAAGAACAUGGAAACAUCUCUAAAUGAAAUGGCCCCAAACAUCAUCAGGAGUGCUAAAGAAGGAAGUCAAAAAACUCUACGGCAAUCUCAUUGGACCAGCAGAGGAAACCACAGAAGGAACCCAAAGGUCCUACACCAACCACCAUGUUCAUGGCUCUCCUGAUCCCCUCAAGGCUGAAAGUGUCAGCAUUAUAAUGGACAAUGAGAACAUUAUAAGAGAGGCAGACAUUGACAUGACACAGGCUGUGGAAUGCCUGUUUGCAGUCUAUUUUCUUUUCAAUGUGCAAUACCCAGUUGCCAUUAAGCACACAAUGAUUUUCAUUAAAAAAUAUAUGCUUAAACUUAGAUGUUGCCAUGACACAAGAACACCAAUACCUGUACUAAAAAUGUAGUCAACUUGUGUAAAUUGUAGUGCCAUUUAGUAGAUGUUUUAAUUGUUCAUGUAUUGUUUUUAUCUGCAUUGAUUUGU
This is a long non-coding RNA of Sinocyclocheilus anshuiensis, 803 nucleotides long. RefSeq lists it as uncharacterized. NCBI's taxonomy places the organism in Eukaryota, Metazoa, Chordata, Actinopteri, Cypriniformes, Cyprinidae. The transcript is spliced from 4 exons. The record is from RefSeq and is a predicted model, not a curated record.